Molecule: transfer RNA, 74 nt
Filed under: Ligilactobacillus pobuzihii
Lineage: Bacteria; Bacillati; Bacillota; Bacilli; Lactobacillales; Lactobacillaceae
Also listed under: 1 other name
Description: Lactobacillus pobuzihii tRNA
Rfam family: tRNA
About the family: Transfer RNA (tRNA) molecules are approximately 80 nucleotides in length. Their secondary structure includes four short double-helical elements and three loops (D, anti-codon, and T loops).
Source: Rfam by way of RNAcentral
GGUCCGGUAGCUCAGCUGGAUAGAGCAUUCGCCUUCUAAGCGAAUUGUCGAGAGUUCGAAUCUCUCCCGGAUCA